This is a long non-coding RNA of Anguilla rostrata (American eel), 1292 nucleotides long. RefSeq lists it as uncharacterized. NCBI's taxonomy places the organism in Eukaryota, Metazoa, Chordata, Actinopteri, Anguilliformes, Anguillidae. The transcript has 4 exons. The record is from RefSeq and is a predicted model, not a curated record.
AUUACGUCAUUCCAGUUUGAACACGGAACAAACAUAAUAAACGGCCUGGCCAUAUGGAGAAAGUCAGAAACGAUAAUGCUGGGGCUGGCUGAUGAAGGUAGGCCACGCUCCUUUGGAGGUAGGAUCCUCCCAUUUGGAGCAAGGCCAGGCCAGAGAAAUACAUACUUGAUGAAUUCUGCUCUGUACCAGAAAAUUCUUCAGGAGGUCAUCUGUCAUAUGCUGAAGCUGAAGUGCAAUUGGGUUAUGCAGCAAGGAAAAAAUCCAAAACACACAAAAUCCAUGACUGUGGAGGGGAUGGGAAGGCUUGCGACUUCAGUGUGGAUGGUACCUUUGGUACUCUGCUGACCCAGAUGUGUAUCUGGUGGAAAUCUUCACACCUUGAAAACGUUCCAUAACUGCUCCUGAGCAACUAUAUUCUGUCUCAUACCAUUUAUCAUCCACCCCAUAAUGUCCAGAAGAAAUAUGCUGCUGGAAGUGCCAUCCUUCAUGUGAGUCAAAAGUUGAAGUUUCCAUUUGUUUUAUGGACAUAAAGUUCCUCUAAUUCCAUUGAAAACCCACAAGGUUGUGAGACCCACACUUAAACACCUUAACCAAGAGGACAGCACAUUUUCGGCACUAACCAAAUCUUCUUUAAUAAACAUUUAGUAAUAGAUAGUAUUUAAAUCCACUUGCUCCCUUUCAUUUUAAAUAAAGAUGAAACAGACCUUUUUGAUUUCACAUUUGUCCAUCUGCAUCAAGUACAUUCUUUUUACCCUAUGAAUCAAUUUAUUUUAAUGAGAUAUUUUAGAUAUUAUUAUAUCGAAAUAUAGAUAUAAAAUAUAUUAUUGUCUUUCUUACAUCUCAAUAAUCUUAUUAAAAAUCAUUCUACAAAUGUUUUUGCAAAUGUGUGAAGUGCCCCCAUAGUUAGAGUGUCUGCCUGGACAUGUAGUUUCAAUCCCAUUUCCUUGGCACUAAGCUUUACAGAGAUGGAUUGGGGUAACAGGCGUGCGCUAGUCUCAGGUCAUGUCUGGGAGAACUACUUGUGCGAGAAUUUGCUUAGCAUCACUGAAAACUGUAAAAUAUCUGACCUACUAAGCAUCCAAGGUUUGAAUGUGGUAUUCAUCUAUUCAGUCAUGCUUGUGUGAAUCAUUUAUUUUACUUUUUCUAAUGUUACUGUUUCGUAUUAUUCUGUCUGUUUGUUUGAUUUUAUGUCUCACUAUAUAAUCUUGUAUGUAUUUUAUGUUCGGACCCCAGGAAGAUUAGCUGCACACUGUGUAUUGCUAAUGGGGAUCCUAAAUAAAUAAAUAAAUAAA